AACGAACGCUGGCGGCAGGCUUAACACAUGCAAGUCGAACGGGUGUAGCAAUACAUCAGUGGCAGACGGGUGAGUAACACGUGGGAACCUUCCUAGAGGUACGGAACAACGCAGGGAAACUUGCGCUAAUACCGUAUACGCUCUUGCGAGGAAAGAUUUAUCGCCUUUAGACGGGCCCGCGUCGGAUUAGCUAGUUGGUAAGGUAACGGCUUACCAAGGCGACGAUCCGUAGCUGAUCUGAGAGGAUGAUCAGCCACACUGGGACUGAGACACGGCCCAGACUCCUACGGGAGGCAGCAGUGGGGAAUCUUGGACAAUGGGCGCAAGCCUGAUCCAGCCAUGCCGCGUGAGUGAAGAAGGCCUUCGGGUUGUAAAGCUCUUUUGUCAGGGACGAUAAUGACGGUACCUGAAGAAUAAGCCCCGGCAAACUUCGUGCCAGCCGCCGCCGUAA
RNAcentral lists this ribosomal RNA (451 nucleotides) under uncultured bacterium. Its description in RNAcentral is "partial 16S ribosomal RNA". It matches the Rfam family "Bacterial small subunit ribosomal RNA", at positions 29 to 523 of the family's 1533-position model. The record is from RNAcentral.